This 180-nucleotide ribosomal RNA is filed under the name uncultured Glomeromycotina. RNAcentral describes it as "partial small subunit ribosomal RNA". The record is from RNAcentral. Lineage: Eukaryota; Fungi; Glomeromycota.
GAAUCAGUACGCUGGUCGUGCCUUCGGUAUGUACUGGUGUCACUGGUUUCUCCCUUCUGAAGAACCAUCAUGCCAUUCACUUGGUGUGGUGGGAAAUCAGGACUGUUACUUUGAAAAAAUUAGAGUGUUCAAAGCAGUCGUUUUACGACCGAAUAGCUUAGCAUGGAAUAAUGGAAUAGG